UAAUAGCAUAUCUUUUCAUAUAUAUUUUCUUAUAAACAGCAAUAUUAUCUGAUAUUUCUUUUCAAAAUAAAUAAUAAACAAAUGCCCAAGGGAGACGAUUAAAAAUUAGCCAAAGGAAACACAUAAAAUAUAAAGGACAACAUAAUGAGAAAGAAGAUAAUAACAAAUCAAAAGUUAAGAAAACCAACAAAGACCGGUUUUCAAAAACAUAAUGAUGCUGUAUUGUAAUGUGUGUAAAUCUAACAAUGUUUAUGAAACAAAUAACAAAUAAAUCACGAGAAACGG
Molecule: long non-coding RNA, 285 nt
Filed under: Mytilus galloprovincialis (Mediterranean mussel)
Lineage: Eukaryota; Metazoa; Mollusca; Bivalvia; Mytilida; Mytilidae
Source: RNAcentral